Molecule: ribosomal RNA, 468 nt
Filed under: uncultured bacterium
Lineage: Bacteria
Description: partial 16S ribosomal RNA
Rfam family: Bacterial small subunit ribosomal RNA
Source: RNAcentral
GACGAACGCUGGCGGCGUGCUUAACACAUGCAAGUCGAACGGAAAGGCCCUGCUUUUGUGGGGUGCUCGAGUGGCGAAAGGGUGAGUAACACGUGAGUAACCUGCCCUUGACUUUGGGAUAACUUCAGGAAACUGGGGCUAAUACCGGAUAGGAGCUCCUGCUGCAUGGUGGGGGUUGGAAAGUUUCGGCGGUUGGGGAUGGACUCGCGGCUUAUCAGCUUGUUGGUGGGGUAGUGGCUUACCAAGGCUUUGACGGGUAGCCGGCCUGAGAGGGUGACCGGCCACAUUGGGACUGAGAUACGGCCCAGACUCCUACGGGAGGCAGCAGUGGGGAAUAUUGCACAAUGGGCGGAAGCCUGAUGCAGCAACGCCGCGUGCGGGAUGACGGCCUUCGGGCUGUAAACCGCUUUCGCCUGUGACGAAGCGUGAGUGACGGUAAUGGGUAAAGAAGCACCGGCUAACUACGUG